Long non-coding RNA from Vidua chalybeata, 135 nucleotides. RefSeq lists it as uncharacterized. Lineage: Eukaryota; Metazoa; Chordata; Aves; Passeriformes; Viduidae. The record is from RefSeq and is a predicted model, not a curated record. The transcript has 3 exons.
UCGACGUCCUGGUCCUGCGUCAGCUUCUCCAGCACCGGCUUCACCUCGGUCUGCAGCGUCCUGCAGGGGACACAGGUGAGACACAGGUGAGACAGGUGAGACAUGAACAGGUGAGACAGGGACAGGUGAGGCACA